This 306-nucleotide unclassified non-coding RNA is filed under the name uncultured fungus. Its description in RNAcentral is "sequence contains ITS1". The stretch from base 1 to 105 matches the Rfam family "5.8S ribosomal RNA", at positions 50 to 154 of the family's 154-position model. The record is from RNAcentral. Lineage: Eukaryota; Fungi.
GAAAUGCGAUAAGUAGUGUGAAUUGCAGAAUACAGUGAAUCAUCGAAUCUUUGAACGCACAUAGCGCCCUUUGGUAUUCCAAAGAGCAUGCCUAUUCGAGCGUCAUUUGUACCCUCAAGCUUUGCUUGGUGUUGGGCGUCUUGUCUCUAGCUUUGCUGGAGAAUCGCCUUAAAGUAAUUGGCAGCCGGCCUACUGGUUUCGGAGCGCAGCACAAGUCGCACUCUCUAUCAGCAACGGUCUAGCAUCCAUUACUCCUUUUUUUCAACUUUUGACCUCGGAUCAGGUAGGGAUACCCGCUACACUUAA